CAGUCGCCGCGGUAAUACGGAGGGUGCAAGCGUUAAUCGGAAUUACUGGGCGUAAAGCGCACGCAGGCGGUCUGUCAAGUCAGAUGUGAAAUCCCCGGGCUUAACCUGGGAACUGCAUUUGAAACUGUCAGGCUAGAGUCUUGUAGAGGGGGGUAGAAUUCCAGGUGUAGCGGUGAAAUGCGUAGAGAUCUGGAGGAAUACCGGUGGCGAAGGCGGCCCCCUGGACAAAGACUGACGCUCAGGUGCGAAAGCGUGGGGAGCAAACAGGAUUAGAUACCCCGGUAGUCCCUGUCUCUUAUAC
This 301-nucleotide ribosomal RNA is filed under the name uncultured bacterium. RNAcentral describes it as "partial 16S ribosomal RNA". It matches the Rfam family "Bacterial small subunit ribosomal RNA", at positions 509 to 807 of the family's 1533-position model. The record is from RNAcentral.